AACGAACGCUGGCGGCGUGCCUAACACAUGCAAGUCGAACGAGAAAGGGGUAGCAAUACCCCCGGUACAGUGGCGAACGGGUGAGUAACACGUGGGUAACCUGCCCUCGAGCUCGGAAUAACCCGCCGAAAGGCGGGCUAAUACCGGAUGAAGUUCUCGGACCUCCGGGACCGGGAACCAAAGAUGGCCAAUGCUUGCAAGCUAUCACUUGAGGAGGGGCCCGCGGCCCAUUAGCUAGUUGGCGGGGUAAUGGCCCACCAAGGCGACGAUGGGUAGCCGGCCUGAGAGGGCGAUCGGCCACAUUGGAACUGAGACACGGUCCAGACUCCUACGGGAGGCAG
Molecule: ribosomal RNA, 341 nt
Filed under: uncultured Acidobacteriota bacterium
Lineage: Bacteria; Pseudomonadati; Acidobacteriota
Description: bacterial SSU rRNA
Rfam family: Bacterial small subunit ribosomal RNA
Source: RNAcentral